RNAcentral lists this long non-coding RNA (843 nucleotides) under Rhinopithecus bieti (black snub-nosed monkey). RNAcentral describes it as "lncRNA (ENSRBIG00000045867.1)". Lineage: Eukaryota; Metazoa; Chordata; Mammalia; Primates; Cercopithecidae. The record is from RNAcentral.
GUCUCAUCAGCUUAACUCACCCAUCUUCCUUCAUACUCAAUUAAUUUUGGUUUUCUCUCCAUCUUUAAGAGACCACAGCUUCCCUACGAGGAAGUGGUACCACCGGAGCAGGAAUAAAAUCAGGCACAGCUGCAGUUCCCUCUGGUACAACAGUUGCCCCUGGGAGCUCCAACUCAGGUAAAGCACCAGGCUAGGAGGAACCACUGCUUUGGAAGGGCUCCUCAGUGAGUUGUCUGCCUGGGUGAUCUUACCAUACUCUUCUCAGAUUCUUCAAAUCUUUGUCCUCACUGUUAUUCCUCUUCUCUCAUUUGCAGAAGCUACAACUUCUGUAGGAGAAAAUGGAAAAACAAGUGGCGAAAUAAUCACAGGUACUACUGAGGGCACCUCUGGCAAAGUUCUGGAACCUGGAAGUGCUCACACAGAGGCCACAACUUUCCCAGGAGGCAGCGGGACCACCCGAGCAGAACCACCAGGAGGUACCACUGGAGAAUUGUCUGGAACGACCAUUAUAUCUGGAAGUUCUAACACAGAGGCCACAACUUCCAUUGAAGAGACUGGUACUUCUGGAACUGGAUUCAAAACCGCAGGCAUCACUGCAGCACCAGGAAAGCAAGCAGGCACCUCUGGGGUGGCACCUGGCACAACAGUUGCUCCUGGAAGUUUCAGCACAGCAGCUACAACUUCUCCUGGAGCAAGCAGAGUGACUGGCACUGGACCCACUGCAGAGACCACAAUUUUCCUAGAAGGAAGUGGCACCACUGGAGCAGAAAUAAAAUCAGGUGAAGAUUAUGGGGGUUUCAUUAUUUACUGUUGUAUUUUGAUAAAUUUGUUAGAGGAAACAUU